This 612-nucleotide ribosomal RNA is filed under the name uncultured bacterium. RNAcentral's name for it is "bacterial SSU rRNA". It matches the Rfam family "Bacterial small subunit ribosomal RNA", at positions 338 to 944 of the family's 1533-position model. The record is from RNAcentral.
CCUACGGGAGGCAGCAGUGGGGAAUUUUGGACAAUGGGCGAAAGCCUGAUCCAGCAAUGCCGCGUGAGUGAAGAAGGCCUUCGGGUUGUAAAGCUCUUUUGUCAGGGAAGAAACGGUGAGGGCUAAUAUCCCUUGCUAAUGACGGUACCUGAAGAAUAAGCACCGGCUAACUACGUGCCAGCAGCCGCGGUAAUACGUAGGGUGCAAGCGUUAAUCGGAAUUACUGGGCGUAAAGCGUGCGCAGGCGGUUUUGUAAGUCUGUCGUGAAAUCCCCGGGCUCAACCUGGGAAUUGCGAUGGAGACUGCAAGGCUAGAAUCUGGCAGAGGGGGGUAGAAUUCCACGUGUAGCAGUGAAAUGCGUAGAGAUGUGGAGGAACACCGAUGGCGAAGGCAGCCCCCUGGGUCAAGAUUGACGCUCAUGCACGAAAGCGUGGGGAGCAAACAGGAUUAGAUACCCUGGUAGUCCACGCCCUAAACGAUGUCUACUAGUUGUCGGGUUUUAAUUAACUUGGUAACGCAGCUAACGCGUGAAGUAGACCGCCUGGGGAGUCGGUCGCAAGAUUAAACUUNAAAGGAAUUGAGGCUUGNGNGNGCGAGNGACGACGAGGAGAG